UUACUCUAUUUCGCGCGGAAUAUGUACCACAUUUUUCUCCCAUUAUCUGGGCACGAUGUGCAAGGUCGAAGCACUUGCACGAGAGCAACGACGGUGAAAACAAGUACAUUUUUGGUGUCGGUACUAAGUCAAUCAUUAAAACAAUUCAAUUAAUUUUCGGUUUAAAAACCAUUGUGGUGAGUCUGGACUUGCAACCAAGGGGUCCCCGUUAAGAAGACCACAACUUUCUUAUUCGGCGAUACCAGAGAUGCUUUCUCAAGUGAUUUGGACACAUCUUGUCUAGUGGGAAGCCCAGAAUCACUGGUUCACACAGUGGAUAUUGAUACCGACUUAGAGAACAAAAAUGCGUCGCCGUUGCCUAAAAAAUUGGUCCACCUUACUGAAUAUCCAGCUGUUCGGAAAAGAACUACUGUGCUGUCUAAUCCUAUAAUGGUUAUUUAUAGUCUUAGUCUCAAAGAACCCCCUAGUCACUCUCAUUAGAAAAAGGAAAUGUGACUAAAGCUGAACAAGUACCAGUGCACAGCUCCAUAACAAGUUUUAAAAAAUAAUUUGAAAGCCUAUACAAAAAAGUAUCUACAGAGCUUGUUUGUCCCCAACCAGGAUAAAGGACCCCAAUUAUCAACAGGUAAAUAGCGAAAGUGAUUCUGACACAAGCAACGAUGUAAGAGACGUCGGAAAAUGAUUAUGGAGAGGGCUCACAAGAAGACUUAAUGGAAGUUCGAAAAGGAAAAAAACCUAAAAGAAACACCGCCAACUGGAAAGCCAAUAUCAGAAAACAAAAAUGCCUUUCUACAAACAGAAUACUUUUAUAGGAGCGAAAUCUUUAAAAAUGCGAUGUUUGCAGGCAAAAUUGCACCACAAAAAUUAGCCAAGAAGAGAGAGAAAACAUAUUUGCAAAUUUUUGGUCAACUUCAAAAUUAAUUGAUCAUAAACGGCAGUUUGUUGCUUCAUGUGUUAAUUUAGUGGAAAUUAAAAGACGGCGAGAACGAACUGGAGAAAAAGCAAACGAGAAAAGUAACACCAAAAAAUUCUUUUUGACUGUUUAAAAACGACGGGUGCAAGUUUAUAAAACAUUUUUUUUGAAUACCUUAGGGAUCUCGCAAACUUUUUGUUUCAACGGCAUUAGCAAAGAGAGGUGAUGGAGGCAUAGUGGAAUCAGAUAAGCGUGAAAAAAACACUCCUUCAAAUAAAAUAUCAUUUGAGUUAAAAGACACUAUAAGAAAUCAUAUUUUAAAAUUUCCAACUGUAGAAUCCCAUUAUAGUAGAGAACGAUCAUCAAGAAGAUACCCUGAUAGUAAUAUAAAUAUAACAAAAAUGUACGAUGCUUACAAAAAAAAAAUGUUGAAGCAACAUACACCCGAAAUUGAUAUUCCUAAACCGUGGUUAUACAGUGAAAUAUUCAACAAUGAAUUUAACUAUUCCUUUAAGCCUCCGGACAACGACACUUGUGAUGAGUGUGACAAAUAUCUUAUACAAUUAAAAGACUCUACAAUAAUUGAUGAAAGAAUGUCCAUCCAAAAAGAGUACGAUUUACACUUGAGUGAUUCAAGUAAUUUUUUUUUUAAAGGCACAAGAUAAGUCUCAGGCUAAAGAAAAUCAAAAACAUAGGGUGAUUAUGGUCGACCUAGAAAAAUGUUUGCCAACUCGUUUAACUACACAAUCAUUAAAGAUUGUUCAAAAAACCUCACAACCUGUUGCAUGUGGGAUGAGAGCGUCGCUGGACGAGGUGGAAAUGAAAUGGCGUCAUGUUUACUUAAAUGGGCAUUAACUAAUAUUGACGAACUUACAAUUUGGUCCGAUAAUUGCCCCUCUCAAAACCGAAAUAUGAACUCUCUUUUGGCUUAUUUUACCAUUUUAAAAUACAUUCCAACAUUAAAAGUUAUAAAUCAUAAAUACCUACUUAGAGGGCAUACCCACUUAGAAGUAGAUAGCGACCACUCUUUAAUUGAAAGAGAGAGAAAAAAAAUAACAAAAUUUCAGAUUAUGACCCCAUGGGACUGGCAACGGUUAGUUCGCCUUGCCAGUCAUAAAAAUCCGUUUAAUGUUAUUAACAUGGAGAUAUCGGAUUUCAAAAAUUUUUUGUCGUUAUUUCAAGGGACCAAUGCUCCAUUUUUACAGAGAAAAAAACUGGAAACUGUAGAAGAUUUUAGAAUAUCGCAGCUGGUUCAUAUUCAGGUUCGUUCUGACCAAUUUGGAGAGGUUUUAAGUAAGACCAGUUUUAAUGAUACUAAUUUUAAGAUACUUGAUUUAAAUAGAGUAUCCCGUAAGUCAGUUUUCCCAAAAGAAAUUCCAGUUAUAAGAGACCUACCAAAACCAGUCAGUGAGAAAAAAUACAAAGACCUUCAAAAUUUAUUACAGUGGGUCCCAAAAAUAUUUCAUCCUUUUUACCAAAAUCUGCCCUACACCGAUAAAAAAACAGAGGAUGAUAGUGAAAAUUAGUUUUUUUCCGUACUUGCUAGCACCAAGAUUUGUUUGUAUGUUUAAUCUUAAGUUGUCUGCCAACGUUGCUAUGUUAUAGGUUUUCUUAUACUUUUAAGAACAUCUAUUAAUUUUGUUUUGUUCAUCCAGUAUUUCUAUUUUUU
This 2582-nucleotide unclassified non-coding RNA is filed under the name Anthonomus grandis grandis. RNAcentral's name for it is "uncharacterized LOC126733547". Lineage: Eukaryota; Metazoa; Arthropoda; Insecta; Coleoptera; Curculionidae. The record is from RNAcentral.